Molecule: transfer RNA, 63 nt
Filed under: Ranitomeya sp. 'Quibdo'
Lineage: Eukaryota; Metazoa; Chordata; Amphibia; Anura; Dendrobatidae
Description: tRNA-Cys
Source: RNAcentral
GGCUCCGGAGUGUUACACGCAGGAUUGCAACCCCUGAAAAGCAGAAUAGAUCUGCCGGGGCUU